RNAcentral lists this ribosomal RNA (497 nucleotides) under uncultured bacterium. Its description in RNAcentral is "partial 16S ribosomal RNA". It matches the Rfam family "Bacterial small subunit ribosomal RNA", at positions 28 to 507 of the family's 1533-position model. The record is from RNAcentral.
GAUGAACGCUGGCGGCGUGCCUAAUACAUGCAAGUCGAGCGAACAGAUAAGGAGCUUGCUCCUUUGACGUUAGCGGCGGACGGGUGAGUAACACGUGGGUAACCUAUCUAUAAGACUGGAAUAACUCCGGGAAACCGGGGCUAAUGCAGGAUAACAUGUUGAACCGCAUGGUUCUACAGUGAAAGGCGGCUUUGCUGUCACUUAUAGAUGGACCCGCGCCGUAUUAGCUAGUUGGUGAGGUAACGGCUCACCAAGGCAACGAUACGUAGCCGACCUGAGAGGGUGAUCGGCCACACUGGAACUGAGACACGGUCCAGACUCCUACGGGAGGCAGCAGUAGGGAAUCUUCCGCAAUGGGCGAAAGCCUGACGGAGCAACGCCGCGUGAGUGAUGAAGGUCUUCGGAUCGUAAAACUCUGUUAUUAGGGAAGAACAAAUGCGUAAGUAACUGUGCGCGUCUUGACGGUACCUAAUCAGAAAGCCACGGCUAACUACGUG